RNAcentral lists this ribosomal RNA (253 nucleotides) under uncultured prokaryote. RNAcentral's name for it is "partial 16S ribosomal RNA". It matches the Rfam family "Bacterial small subunit ribosomal RNA", at positions 524 to 776 of the family's 1533-position model. The record is from RNAcentral.
GACAGAGGCCCCGAGCGUUAAUCGGAAUCACUGGGCUUAAAGGGUGCGUAGGCCGGCCUGCAAGUGCUUUGUGAAAUCCCAUGGCUCAACCAUGGAACAGCGGGGCAUACUGCGGGUCUUGAGGAUGGUAGGGGUUGCCGGAACUGUAGGUGGAGCGGUGAAAUGCGUAGAUAUCUACAGGAACGCCGAUGGUGAAGACGGGCAACUGGGCCUUUCCUGACGCUGAGGCACGAAAGCGUGGGGAGCAAACAGG